Molecule: transfer RNA, 66 nt
Filed under: Magicicada septendecim (seventeen-year cicada)
Lineage: Eukaryota; Metazoa; Arthropoda; Insecta; Hemiptera; Cicadidae
Also listed under: 2 other names
Description: tRNA-Gln
Source: RNAcentral
UAUGUUGUAGUUCAUGAAGAACAUUAAUUUUUGAUAUUAAAAGACAGUUUAAUUCUGCCAACAUAA